Molecule: long non-coding RNA, 3561 nt
Organism: Anopheles merus
Lineage: Eukaryota; Metazoa; Arthropoda; Insecta; Diptera; Culicidae
Exons: 3
Source: RefSeq, a predicted model, not a curated record
CAUCAUUUGCAUUCGUACAUCUAUUUCCGUGUAAUGCUAAUUUGUGUAGUGCUUUUGAGGUAUGUUCCGGUAUCGUUUCUUGUGCGAUUGUUGAGUGAUACAAAGUAUCGAAAUACAUAUUAGUUCUCGCGGCAGACGACAGACAACGGAUGAAAGUUGUGUAACACCAUCCGGGAGAUGUGUGAAGUUGUGCAUAACCAGCUUUUUUUUUGUUUGGCAAGGACGUCCAUUUUGGGUUGAGAUAGAUUUCUUAAUGCAUCUCCAUGAUGGCGAUGCAUCCUACUUCAUCCCGGUGCGGUGCGUGUGUCUCCGUGUGUUGGCCAUCUUUGCUCCCAGACGCGCGCAACUUAUGAAUGGGCAAACCCGUACCGACCACGCACACGGAUAUGGUGCGCCAUAUACCGAAGGCAAGCGAAUAAGGUACCAAAAGGCAGCCCGGGAAGACAGACACCCACUCCCCACGCAGAGGUAAAACAGGCCCGGGUGGGGAACCGUAGACAGGAAAACAAACAAGGAACCGCACAACAAUUCAUUCACAUCCGCCUCAUCGACAGUGUGGUGGCGGCAGGUAGCUAACCUUCUCUCAGCAACAUCCCAAAAUCGCGACCGCGGUCGGUGACAUUUCGACUGCCGGAUCUGGCCGGUGGGUGGGUGGGGAGGUGUUUCGCGCCAACACCAUUUCACACGAACCCAGCGGCCGGACGCGCGUGCUGCAGUGUGCAUUGGAUCGUGGAUCCGCUGGUGUGUGCGUGUCUCGCACACGACGCAAUGGAAGUCACGCAAUCCUUCCGCCACCAAAAUACGUGCGCGCGCGCGUGUCACACCGUUUUGCGUCACGGCGCAAAUCGUUUGACAAAUUGAGAUAUUUGAAGAGAGUGAGAGAGAGAGAGAGAGUUACAACAGCCUCAACACAAUUUAUGACGGAUCUUGUGGCGCGCAGCGUUCGGACACUUUCGAUUUCGUGCGGCACACACCCGCUUUGCGCUUUCGCUUUCGUUUGCGGCCCCCAGCCACGGAUGGCUUACGAGCGCGCGCAUGGAGACCACCUUGCAAUGCGCCGAUUUUGUGGCCCCUCGCAACUUCAAUCUUUUAUACCGACGCCACGUGUGUGUGUCAUUAGAAAAUUGCUACUAUUUGGCAUUAUUUGGGCCGCUACUGGGGAUUGCAUUUUUUUUUGCUACAAUGAUUUACGAGUGAUGUGAGCGCGGCUACCACCACCAACCUCCUGGUUGAUUUACCACCCAUGCCAACCGGCCGGGGGGAGACCAAUUAAUUUCGGCUAGGUGCGAAUCGCCCACCAAAUGCGGUUGUAACGGCGAUCGGCGGGGCGAGUCCGAUCCACGUGGGAUUAAUCGAGUGUGAAAAUAAUUGCCCCAUUUUUCCCGACUGCCUGCUUGGCCUGUUGUUUAAAUCGAAUGCCCGGCCGCGGUUUAGUGUAUCACUUAAAGUGGCGAAAUGUGAUGUUAUGUGAGGGAUGUGUUGGAGCCGGAGAAAGAGACUGAAAAGGCAUUACAAAAACGGCUUUAGCUGCAACGAUUUGUUUCGUUUGAUGUCGGUCUGGGUAGGGAAAUGCAGGAACCUUCAUGGGAGUUCCCAAGGGGGGCACAUGCUGUUGUGUCCCCAUCGUAUGCAAAUGGGCUUGCCUAUAAAAUGGGUUUUAUGUACAUUGUUUUUUAUUCCUCCACUUUCCCCUGAGGGAAUUGGCAAUCCUUAAUCCAUCAUCCGAUUAGCCGUCUCGAAUAAUCAAAAUCCGUGCUUUGUACCAUGGUCGGGAGAGUGUCCUGUAAGGGGGACACAAGUCCGUUUUUCUGCUUUUAGAGUCAUCGUUGCAUCGUUACUGGAUGGAAGCUGCUGCAAACGGUCCAAACACCGGGACAGGUCAAUCAACCUUCCUCCCUGGGGGCAACUGAACAGGGCAGACCAGAGUGAUGAACGUGAAAAAUCCGGUCAACAUCAUCCAUUUAUCUAGCUGAGGUCCUCUUUUUAGGCCGCAUUUUUGCUGCCACAUGACAUCAAAAGAAUGUCAUCAGGCCACGAUGUUGUUGUUGUUGAAUGGUCCUUCGGGGAUCUGUGCACACCACAUUGAGCGUUUAUUGAUUAGAAGAGACACAAUCAAUCUUUUUUUUUUCUGUGCAAUUUGUGCAGCAUAUUGCAAUGAAAAUCGUGUCGCUUUGUUGUUCUUUGGGCGUUACAGAAAAGCAUAGCAAAGAGCAUAACAGCAGGCUGCGGUGUGGGGUGGGAAAAGGGCUGCAUAACCGUUACGGCUUGCGGUGGUGAUAGUACGACUCACUCUCGGUAGAUGGCGGAGCAAACAGUAGGGAGUGUGGUGGUGGAACAAGCAUGUGGCUCGUUGGUCUAGGGGUAUGAUUCUCGCUUCGGGUGCGAGAGGUCCCGGGUUCAAUUCCCGGACGAGCCCGAGAUUGUGGAGAUCUUUUUUGUCGUUUUUCGACUGUGAGAGAGGGUUAUUGUUGCUGAAGGGGGAAAUUUUACUUUCUUUUAAUGUAUCCGGUUGUGUUUAACCCCUCCGCUUGUGACACACUUCUUCGUGUACGGCUUUCUACUAAGGGAGGGCCUUGCUCAUUGGCCAUCUCGCAAGGUCGUGUCGCACGCCGGGCCGGGGGUGAACUGACAAAUCACGAAAGCGAAAGAUAUGCGAUAUUAUGUACGCACCGCAUUCCUCUGCUGUAACCGGGACGAGCCCCGUUGGACAGUUGGACUGUUUUUAGGGCCACACUUUGCAUACCUGCCUUGCGCACUUUCAUCUUUCGUGUCUUUCUCUGGCUCUGUGUGCGUCAUCCCAUUUUUAACAGUUUCUCUUCUUUCGGGGAUGCUUAUCGGAAGGAAACGGAUUAACGGACCCAUGGGUGCUGCAUCCGUCACGUGGUGGCUGCUGGGAUUGGGAAUGAUUUAUAAACUCCACACACCCAACAAACUCUCUCCCCGGGGGGUGGUGGGCAGGGCUGUUGCGUGUAAUAUCCAAAUGGGAGAAUGGUGGAAAGGAUGGGAAUGCGUUUCAUCAUUUGUUAAACUGCCAUGGGUUUUCAAUUGCGCGGUUACGCGGUUGUUUGUAUAUCAUUCAUGAUUUUUGCUGGGUUCGUUCGCUUUCUUUCGCGGGUUUGUUACGCGGGGUUGCAUUUUUUCUGUUUGUUUGUUUGUGCACACACGCAAAUACGCUCAUUCUCUCUCUAUCUCUCUCUCUCUUCGCUCCCUCGCGGGUGCGGUUUUGGGCAGGUGGGUGUGUGUGCUCGCCCGUUCAAGCACAUGUGGGACCUAUCCCGGAUGUGACGGUUUCGGUCUGAUUGCCGGUGGCGUAAUCAGCUGGUUUCGAGGAAGAAGGGUGGUCAUACUUGAAGCGAUUGUUGAAGAUGGGCGUACAUAUGAUGCCAAAUGGGCGAAAAUUUGGCACUUUGGGGGCAUGGUUUGGGUUGAAGAUUUCGGUUGGCAAACGCUUUGAGAGGAUAGUUGAGGACAAAUUGCUGGUCCAUAAAGAGUGUUUAAAAAUGUAAUUUUGGGUUGUUGCUGUUGAUCAUUGAUGAUGACCUUUAAACCAGCUGAACUUCA